This 505-nucleotide long non-coding RNA is filed under the name Hordeum vulgare. RNAcentral's name for it is "long non-coding RNA (HVUL_LNC012002)". The record is from RNAcentral. Lineage: Eukaryota; Viridiplantae; Streptophyta; Magnoliopsida; Poales; Poaceae.
AGGUGUUGAGACUUCAGGAAUUUGAUGAGCUUGAAUUUCCUCAUCCAUUGGUGUGGAUGCAGCAGAGCGAUUGUCAUCCAUUUUCUCAUCCUGUUCUGGAAUGACAUGCUCUUCACAAAAUGGUACAAUCAUGUAUGAUGGUGCAACACUGAGGGGGGUAGCAUCCAUUGUAGCUGAUGAUGUAGUAGGCAGAGUCUUCACGCGUUUUGCCUCUGAAGAUUUUGAAGGUGUUGAUGCCUUUCUCUUCUUUGCUUUAUUCUCAGCAGCUUUUGUUUUCUUCACGUCCGAUGCAGACGGAAGAGUCACUUUCUUCACCUUUGAAGACAUUGGUGAAGGAGCAUUUUCAUCAGGCAUUGCAUGAGCAGUGUCAGACCUGGUAGAUUCUCGGUAGGAAUAUGCUGAGUAAUUUAAUCAGUAACUGGUUCUUCAUCUUCAUACGAAUCAGCCAGUUUCACAGUAUAGCUGGGCCGAGGAUUUUUUGGUUGCUUUGGGGCUGACACCCUAC